RNAcentral lists this ribosomal RNA (306 nucleotides) under Triticum aestivum (bread wheat). RNAcentral's name for it is "partial small subunit ribosomal RNA". Lineage: Eukaryota; Viridiplantae; Streptophyta; Magnoliopsida; Poales; Poaceae. The record is from RNAcentral.
AUGAUCAAGAUAUGGCAAAGCCCUUCAUGGGAUUCAAGGGGAAUAUGCAACAUAUGUGGUGCCUUUUGUAAGCUAAGCCGGGUUAUUGAAGUAAUUGUUCUUCAGUUUUGUCAGUCGUCACAUGAACAUGAUGAACGUGAAGAGACAAUGAAAGAACGAAAGAAGGGGAUAAAGUUCCUUGCAGCACCUAUAGUGAUAGCAUCUCGAGGGAUUGACAGGGGACGCCUGUACCCGUUCGGCCCUCCGCAAGACUUGUCGUCGUCGUUCUUCUCCAAAGAUCUUGUCCCUACAGAGGUUAGCAAAUAA